GACGAACGCUGGCGGCGUGCUUAACACAUGCAAGUCGAACGGAAAGGCCCCUUUGGGGGUACUCGAGUGGCGAACGGGUGAGUAACACGUGAGUAACCUGCCCUUGACUUCGGGAUAACUUCAGGAAACUGGGGCUAAUACCGGAUAGGAAUCCUUGCUGCAUGGUGGGGGUUGGAAAGCUUCGGCGGUUUUGGAUGGACUCGCGGCUUAUCAGCUUGUUGGUGGGGUAGUGGCUUACCAAGGCUUUGACGGGUAGCCGGCCUGAGAGGGCGACCGGCCACAUUGGGACUGAGAUACGGCCCAGACUCCUACGGGAGGCAGCAGGGGGGAAUAUUGCACAAGGGGCGGAAGCCUGAUGCAGCAACGCCGCGUGCGGGAUGACGGCCUUCGGGUUGUAAACCGCUUUCAGCAGGGGCGAAGCUUGUGGUGACGGUACCUGCAGAAGAAGCACCGGCUAACUACGUG
This 465-nucleotide ribosomal RNA is filed under the name uncultured bacterium. RNAcentral describes it as "partial 16S ribosomal RNA". It matches the Rfam family "Bacterial small subunit ribosomal RNA", at positions 28 to 507 of the family's 1533-position model. The record is from RNAcentral.